CUGGGAUAAGUGAGGAGGAGUAGGCAGAGAGCUGCCCCCCCAGGCAUUAUUCAGGGCCCUGGGAUAUGGGGGACACUGGCAGGGUUGGGAUCCAGAACAACCCAGUCACCAUCAAGGGAAGGAGGUACCCACCUAACAUUGGCAGCAGCUUGCCUGUCUGCCUAGCAAGGGCAGAGCCUCUAAGGGAAGGAGCCAACUGUGUGGCCCCCAUGCCCUUUUUCUUCCUGCUGGAGGGGCCAGUGGGCAUGGGGGGCAGGCAGGGACUGCAUUGUGAGGCACUGGGGUGUGUUCAGAUGCUCUCUGUCAGCCGGGCGUGGUGGCGUAUGCCUGUAAUCCCAGCACUUGGGAGGCUGAGGCAGGAGGAUCGCUGUGAGUUCAAGACCAGCCUGGGCUACAUAGUGAGCCCCAGGUCAGUCUCAACUACAUAAUGAGACCCUGUCUCAAAAAAAAGCAGAUGCUCUCUGUCCUCUGAGCCUGAAUAUCCCCAGUGAUCUGAGGUCCCAGCUCGCGCUAGGGGCUAGCAGGCCUGGUGGUCAGUGCACUAGUCCUAUCCCCUGGCUUUCUAGCCACUGGAGGCCUCAGGGCCUGAGUUCUCAGAUGCCCACAUGACAUGGUUGAACUUUGUCCGUCGGCCAGAUGACGGGGCUUCCAAGCGACGGUGCCGAUGCCAGGAUAAGAAGCUGGUAAGCUCCUGGGUGCUUUGGGGCUCCCAGGACCCUCUCAGGGGUCUGAGCCCAGGGCAGGUGGUGGCUGUGCAUUCUACCAGGUCCUUCACUUUCUCCUGUCUCCUCACAGCGAGGUCUCUUGGGGCCCCCAGGACCCCCAGGACCCCCUGGGCCCCCAGGCCCCCCUGGUGCAGAAGUUACCCCAGAAGCCCUGCUGCAAGAGUUUCAGGAGAUGCUAAGAGGUAAGGCUGCUGGUAUCUCCUUCCAGGUCCCUUAGCCCCAUCAGGAUGGGAUGGGCCUGACCCUGUGUCGCAUUGGCUUCUUCCCCACAGAGGCCACAGAGCGAAGGUUCUCUGCACUGCUGGACACAUGGCUGCCACAGGUGAGUGGCCAGCGACUGGUGGUCGAGGCCUUCCACUGCCGGCUGAAGGCUCCUGUGCUGGUAGACCAGAGGACCCUGGUGGAGCUACGGGGCUUCCAGGCUCCUGCUGUCCAGGGUGCCUUCCUGAGGGGGUCUGGACUGAGCCUGGCCUCUGGCCGAUUCACAGCCCCUGUCUCUGCCAUCUUCCAGUUCUCUGCCAGCCUUCAUGUGGACCACAGCGCACUGCAGGGCAGGGCCCGGCUGCGAGCCCGGGACACCGUGCGUGUCCUCAUCUGCAUAGAGUCCUUGUGCCAUCGCCACAUGUCCCUGGAGGCCAUCUCAGGCCUGGAGAGUAACAGCAGGGUCUUCACGGCACAGGUGCAAGGGCUGCUGCAGCUGCAGGCUGGACAGUACGCCUCUGUGUUUGUGGACAAUGGCUCUGGGGUGGCCCUCACCAUCCAGGGUGGUUCCAUCUUCUCUGGGUUGCUCCUGGGCACGUGAUGGCACCAUAGAGGAACCACCAGCCACCUCAGGGAGGAGGUGAAGAGGAUCCCCAAUAAUAAUACAGAGCUUGCAAUAAUAAAGAGCCCCCAGCCCUCCCUGUUGCCCAUGGAUGCUGCCUGGUUAUUGCAUUGGUGGAGGUGGGGGCUGGGCAGCUG
This 1685-nucleotide long non-coding RNA is filed under the name Fukomys damarensis (Damara mole-rat). RNAcentral's name for it is "lncRNA (ENSFDAG00000031246.1)". Lineage: Eukaryota; Metazoa; Chordata; Mammalia; Rodentia; Bathyergidae. The record is from RNAcentral.